RNAcentral lists this ribosomal RNA (252 nucleotides) under uncultured bacterium. RNAcentral's name for it is "partial 16S ribosomal RNA". It matches the Rfam family "Bacterial small subunit ribosomal RNA", at positions 524 to 776 of the family's 1533-position model. The record is from RNAcentral.
UACGUAGGGGGCAAGCGUUGUCCGGAAUUAUUGGGCGUAAAGCGCGCGCAGGCGGUCAUUUAAGUCUGGUGUUUAAGCCCGGGGCUCAACCCCGGUUCGCAUCGGAAACUGGAUGACUUGAGUGUAGGAGAGGAAAGUGGAAUUCCACGUGUAGCGGUGAAAUGCGUAGAGAUGUGGAGGAACACCGAUGGCGAAGGCAGCCCCCUGGGCUGAGAUUGACGCUCAGGCACGAAAGCGUGGGGAGCAAACAGG